CAGUCGCCGCGGUAAUACGAGGGGUGCAAGCGUUAAUCGGAAUUACUGGGCGUAAAGCGAGCGCAGGCGGUUUGUUAAGACAGAUGUGAAAUCCCCGGGCUCAACCUGGGAACUGCAUUUGUGACUGGCAAGCUAGAGUGUGGCAGAGGGGGGUGGAAUUCCGCGUGUAGCAGUGAAAUGCGUAGAUAUGCGGAGGAACACCGAUGGCGAAGGCAGCCCCCUGGGCCAACACUGACGCUCAUGCACGAAAGCGUGGGGAGCAAACAGGAUUAGAUACCCCUGUAGUCCCUGUCUCUUAUAC
RNAcentral lists this ribosomal RNA (301 nucleotides) under uncultured bacterium. RNAcentral describes it as "partial 16S ribosomal RNA". It matches the Rfam family "Bacterial small subunit ribosomal RNA", at positions 509 to 807 of the family's 1533-position model. The record is from RNAcentral.